UUGCCUCAUAGCUCAAUGGCAGAGCGACGCGCUGUUAACGCGGGGGUUGUAGGUUCAAGUCCUACUGGGGCAGU
Molecule: transfer RNA, 74 nt
Filed under: Microseira wollei NIES-4236
Lineage: Bacteria; Bacillati; Cyanobacteriota; Cyanophyceae; Aerosakkonematales; Aerosakkonemataceae
Description: tRNA-Asn
Rfam family: tRNA
About the family: Transfer RNA (tRNA) molecules are approximately 80 nucleotides in length. Their secondary structure includes four short double-helical elements and three loops (D, anti-codon, and T loops).
Source: RNAcentral